GAUGAACGCUGGCGGCGUGCUUAACACAUGCAAGUCGAACGGAGCACCCCUGACGGAGUUUUCGGACAACGAAAGGGAAUGCUUAGUGGCGGACGGGUGAGUAACGCGUGAGUAACCUGCCUUGGAGUGGGGAAUAACAGCCGGAAACGGCUGCUAAUACCGCAUGAUGUAUCUGGAUCGCAUGGUUCUGGAUACCAAAGAUUUAUCGCUCUGAGAUGGACUCGCGUCUGAUUAGCUAGUUGGUGAGGUAACGGCUCACCAAGGCGACGAUCAGUAGCCGGACUGAGAGGUUGGCCGGCCACAUUGGGACUGAGACACGGCCCAGACUCCUACGGGAGGCAGCAGUGGGGAAUAUUGGGCAAUGGGCGAAAGCCUGACCCAGCAACGCCGCGUGAAGGAAGAAGGCCCUCGGGUUGUAAACUUCUUUUGUCAGGGACGAAGCAAGUGACGGUACCUGACGAAUAAGCCACGGCUAACUACGUG
Molecule: ribosomal RNA, 483 nt
Filed under: uncultured bacterium
Lineage: Bacteria
Description: bacterial SSU rRNA
Rfam family: Bacterial small subunit ribosomal RNA
Source: RNAcentral